UUGUUGCGGUUAGAAAGCUCGUAGUUGGAUUUCUGUUGAGGAUGACCGGUCCGCUCUUUGAGCGCGUAUCUGGUUCAGCCUUGGCAUCCUCUUGGGGAACGCUACUGUGCUUGAUUGCAUGGGGCGGUAUUCAAGACUUUUACUUUGAGGAAAUUAGAGUGUUCACUGCAAGCGUUAGCAAUUGAAUACAUUAGCAUGGAAUAAUAAUAUAGGACCUUGGUACUAUUUUGUUGGUUUCUAGAACUAAGGUAAUGAUUAAUAGGGACAAUUGGGGGCAUUCGUAUUAACGCGUCAGAGGUGGAAUUCUUAGAUUGCGUUACGACGAACUACUGCGAAAGCAUUUGCCAAGGAUGUUUUCAUUGAUCAAGAGCGAAAGUAUGGGGAUCGAAGACGCUUAGAUACCGUCGUAGUCUAUACCAUAAACUAUGCCAACUAGAGAUUGGAGGUCGUUCUCUUUAUGACUCCUUCAGCACCUUAUGAGAAAUCAAAGUCUUUGGGUUCCGGGGGGAGUAUGGUCGCAAGGCUGAAACUUAAAGGAAUUGACGGAAGGGCACCACAAGUUGUGGAUCCUGUGGCUUAAUUUGACUCCACACGGGA
This 597-nucleotide ribosomal RNA is filed under the name uncultured marine eukaryote. RNAcentral describes it as "SSU rRNA". It matches the Rfam family "Eukaryotic small subunit ribosomal RNA", at positions 610 to 1210 of the family's 1831-position model. The record is from RNAcentral.